UACGUAGGGGGCUAGCGUUGUCCGGAAUCAUUGGGCGUAAAGAGCGCGUAGGCGGCCAGAUAAGUCCGGUGUGAAAGCCCGGGGCUCAACCCCGGGAGGCGGAUGGAUACUGCUGGGCUCGAGUCCGGAAGAGGCAAGUGGAAUUCCCGGUGUAGCGGUGAAAUGCGCAGAUAUCGGGAGGAACACCAAUGGCGAAGGCAGCUUGCUGGGACGGUACUGACGCUGAGACGCGAAAGCGUGGGGAGCAAACAGG
This 253-nucleotide ribosomal RNA is filed under the name uncultured bacterium. Its description in RNAcentral is "partial 16S ribosomal RNA". It matches the Rfam family "Bacterial small subunit ribosomal RNA", at positions 524 to 776 of the family's 1533-position model. The record is from RNAcentral.